This 23-nucleotide non-coding RNA is filed under the name Arabidopsis thaliana (thale cress). The record is from RNAcentral. Lineage: Eukaryota; Viridiplantae; Streptophyta; Magnoliopsida; Brassicales; Brassicaceae.
UGAUCUUGGAAGAGUUUUGCUGC